RNAcentral lists this ribosomal RNA (253 nucleotides) under uncultured prokaryote. Its description in RNAcentral is "partial 16S ribosomal RNA". It matches the Rfam family "Bacterial small subunit ribosomal RNA", at positions 524 to 776 of the family's 1533-position model. The record is from RNAcentral.
UACGAAGGGGGCAAGCGUUGUUCGGAAUUAUUGGGCGUAAAGGGAGCGUAGGCGGUUCGGCAAGUCUUUAGUGAAAUCUCUGGGCUCAACCCAGAGUCUGCUGGAGAAACUGCCGGGCUGGAGUAUGGGAGAGGUGAGUGGAAUUCCCGGUGUAGCGGUGAAAUGCGCAGAGAUCGGGAGGAACACCAAUGGCGAAAGCAGGUACCUGGACUAUUACUGACACUCAGCUGCGAAAGCUAGGGGAGCAAACAGG